GGCAGUUCUGGACUCAGCCUAGGCUGUGUUUACCCUCGGCUGUGAGAACGGAACCAGAUAUUUGAUUCCAGGUUCAUGUCAGUUUCCUGCGACUGUGAAAAACACCUGUGAUGAAUCAACUUCAAGGAGGAAAGGUUUAUUCUGGCUUAUACUCGGCCCAUCAGUGUGGACCUUCGGUGAGGGGGAAGAACUUCAUGGUUACCCCGGACCUCAGGCGCCCCCUGGGAGAUGGAGGAAGAGAGAAAGGCAAGUCAGCCAUGGGAGCUUAUCAUGGGCCAGGCCUGGACGUCCUCCUCACCCGCUUCACUCUCACAUCACUGGCCAGAACCCAGUCACGUGGGGACAGCUAACUGCCGGGAAGGCUGGGUGAUGCAGUCCAGCUGUGAGCUGGGGAAGCAGAGGGAACAGGUUCUGGUGAACACAAAGUGGUCUUUAGCACCAGAGAAAGUCUUAGCUACAGCUAGAAUGUGAUCCAUUUGGAGGGACGCUACAAGGUGAGGGCUAAUCUGUGAAUGUCAUAUUCAGAGCCCAGGACAAAUGCAAACUUGAUUGCUUAUAGUGUUGCAGAGAAUCGCUCACCUAACCCCAAUGUGGUGGAAAUGCACGAGAGUUGAAGGUUAUAAGUGAUACCAUCAGGAGCCCGAGGACACACAUCUUCUGGACAAUAGGUGCCUCACUGGUCCAAGGAGAGCUGGACAGCAAGUUUGCAUACAGCACGGAAGAGCACAGGAGGACAGCUCAGGAUCAGAAGACCCCUCACACGACUACCAUGUCUCACCAAGACAGACUUUACUAUCAGUCAGAUAUUAUCUGUCUCCUCAGGACACAGCAACGGCCCUCUCGGGAAGAGCUUGGGAGAGAGAAAGGCUGCCUUUGAUCCUCUUUCCAUCCACUGUGUGGGAAGAUUUGAACAACCUCUGUGGUAUUUGACAGGGCCCAGGGUUUUUGUGAGUGAAUGGCACACAUGACUCACUUAGGGGAAUACCGAAAGGAAGCAGAAAUUAAAUUCAGUGUGGUGGGGGUCACUGGCUAGAGGUGAGUGUGCAGAGAGGAGUGGUCCAUGGGGCCUCCAGGGAAGGGGACACUAGGUUGCACAGUGACUGCAUUAGCUAGGGGAGGUGUGCUUUCAGAAGAGGAGGCGGACAGCCCAGGAGCACAGCACAGACCAAGGCUUGACACACUGAGGAGACACCAGGAGCCUAACCCACAAGUGAGGAGCUGCAGAACUAGUCAGGGGGCCUAAGGGGCCUCCUGUCUCACACUCAGGGACCUGGCUAUAGGUGACAGGGGUCACUGAAUGGAUUACUUUUCAAGAGUAACACAGUGAGUAUGGAGUAAACCAUUUUUCCUGUUAGAACAGCUCCACAACUCUCUUCCAGGAAAGCUUUUUUUUUUAACUUUUUAAAAUCUAAAACUAAUACAUGGGCAUUAUAGAAAACUUGGAAAGUGUACAAAGGCAUAGUCAAUAAGAAAAAACUAGGCAUAAACUCUAUGCAGAGGUCAUUACUAAGAACAUGUUGAAACACAUUCUUUCAGUCUUUUGCAUAUCCAUAUUUUAAAAUACGUGAGAUGUUGAGGCACAUAUUAUUUUAAAACAGCUU
Long non-coding RNA from Chinchilla lanigera (long-tailed chinchilla), 1601 nucleotides. RefSeq lists it as uncharacterized. The record is from RefSeq and is a predicted model, not a curated record. NCBI's taxonomy places the organism in Eukaryota, Metazoa, Chordata, Mammalia, Rodentia, Chinchillidae. The transcript has 3 exons.